RNAcentral lists this ribosomal RNA (465 nucleotides) under Vreelandella stevensii. Its description in RNAcentral is "partial 16S ribosomal RNA". It matches the Rfam family "Bacterial small subunit ribosomal RNA", at positions 338 to 795 of the family's 1533-position model. The record is from RNAcentral. Lineage: Bacteria; Pseudomonadati; Pseudomonadota; Gammaproteobacteria; Oceanospirillales; Halomonadaceae.
CCUACGGGCGGCAGCAGUGGGGAAUAUUGGACAAUGGGGGCAACCCUGAUCCAGCCAUGCCGCGUGUGUGAAGAAGGCCCUCGGGUUGUAAAGCACUUUCAGUGAGGAAGAACGCCUGGUGGUUAAUACCCAUCAGGAAAGACAUCACUCACAGAAGAAGCACCGGCUAACUCCGUGCGAGCAGCCGCGGUAAUACGGAGGGUGCGAGCGUUAAUCGGAAUUACUGGGCGUAAAGCGCGCGUAGGUGGCUUGAUAAGCCGGUUGUGAAAGCCCCGGGCUCAACCUGGGAACGGCAUCCGGAACUGUCAAGCUAGAGUGCAGGAGAGGAAGGUAGAAUUCCCGGUGUAGCGGUGAAAUGCGUAGAGAUCGGGAGGAAUACCAGUGGCGAAGGCGGCCUUCUGGACUGACACUGACACUGAGGUGCGAAAGCGUGGGUAGCAAACAGGAUUAGAUACCCCUGUAGUC